AAGCGAGCGUAGGUGGCUUGAUAAGUCAGAUGUGAAAUCCCCGGGCUUAACCUGGGAACUGCAUCUGAUACUGUUAGGCUAGAAUAGGUGAGAGGAAGGUAGAAUUCCAGGUGUAGCGGUGAAAUGCGUAGAGAUCUGGAGGAAUACCGAUGGCGAAGGCAGCCUUCUGGCAUCAUAUUGACACUGAGGUUCGAAAGCGUGGGUAGCAAACAGGAUUAGAUACCCUGGUAGUCCACGCCGUAAACGAUGUCUACUAGUCGUUGGGUCCCUUGAGGACUUAGUGACGCAGCUAACGCAAUAAGUAGACCGCCUGGGGAGUACGGCCGCAAGGUUAAAACUCAAAUGAAUUGACGGGGGCCCGCACAAGCGGUGGAGCAUGUGGUUUAAUUCGAUGCAACGCGAAGAACCUUACCUGGUCUUGACAUAUCUAGAAUCCUGCAGAGAUGCGGGAGUGCCUUCGGGAAUUAGAAUACAGGUGCUGCAUGGCUGUCGUCAGCUCGUGUCGUGAGAUGUUGGGUUAAGUCCCGCAACGAGCGCAACCCUUGUCCUUAGUUACCAGCGGGUUAAGCCGGGAACUCUAAGGAUACUGCCAGUGACAAACUGGAGGAAGGCGGGGACGACGUCAAGUCAUCAUGGCCCUUACGACCAGGGCUACACACGUGCUACAAUGGUAGGUGCAGAGGGCAGCUACACAGCGAUGUGAUGCGAAUCUCAAAAAGCCUAUCGUAGUCCAGAUUGGAGUCUGCAACUCGACUCCAUGAAGUAGGAUC
RNAcentral lists this ribosomal RNA (770 nucleotides) under uncultured bacterium. RNAcentral's name for it is "bacterial SSU rRNA". It matches the Rfam family "Bacterial small subunit ribosomal RNA", at positions 563 to 1332 of the family's 1533-position model. The record is from RNAcentral.